UACGGAGGGUGCAAACGUUGCUCGGAAUUAUUGGGCGUAAAGCGCAUGUAGGCGGCCGAAUAAGUCGGGUGUGAAAGCCCAGGCUUAACCCUGGAAGUGCACUCGAAACUGCUCGGCUUGAAUAUGGAAGAGGGUCGCGGAAUUCCCGGUGUAGAGGUGAAAUUCGUAGAUAUCGGGAGGAACACCAGUGGCGAAGGCGGCGACCUGGGCCAAUAUUGACGCUGAGAUGCGAAAGCGUGGGGAGCAAACAGG
RNAcentral lists this ribosomal RNA (252 nucleotides) under uncultured bacterium. Its description in RNAcentral is "partial 16S ribosomal RNA". It matches the Rfam family "Bacterial small subunit ribosomal RNA", at positions 524 to 776 of the family's 1533-position model. The record is from RNAcentral.